Lagopus leucura (white-tailed ptarmigan) is the source of this 3271-nucleotide long non-coding RNA. RefSeq lists it as uncharacterized. NCBI's taxonomy places the organism in Eukaryota, Metazoa, Chordata, Aves, Galliformes, Phasianidae. The transcript has 6 exons. The record is from RefSeq and is a predicted model, not a curated record.
GCGUGGGAGAGGGGCUCGGAACGGAGGUCAGCUCGGCUCUGCCGGGAGAGACCCAGAUGUGCCGCGGCCGCUGUACGCGUUCCCUCCGAGCGGAGCCGGCGGGCAGCGGCGGACUCGCGUGGACGCGUCCGUAGACUUUGCCGUACCUCGACGGGAUGCGCGCCGGGGUGUGAUCCCGGUAAUGCCUCUAACGAGAGCGCUAAUUACAGGAGGACGAUUUGGCAAAUGAAGUGAGAGGAUGCACCCCCAGCCCCGAGCACCAGAUGAACUUUUCCAAACACACACGCACACACGCGGUAAUUUUGGUAUGCUCCCUCGGCCAAUCGCCGCGCUCAGCCCGAGCAUGCCUUACCCUAGCGCAGUCAAUUACCGGCGCUCCCCGGGCUCAUCAAUCACGGGGCGCCUCCAGUGAGGGGAGGAGCGAGCCUCCGACUAUCGAUCGCUGCAGUUUUGUCCUCCCCAGCCCCCAGCCUCGUUCACGGUCCCCUGCACAUAAAAUCUAAACCAGACUAUCCCGUUAAUAGCGGGAUUUAUCAAUGAUUGUGUACCCGGUGGUGAAUGUGGCCUCGUACAUAGGUGGCUUUUAGAAAUACACGGCAGAAAAAAAUAAGAACGAUGUAAUUUAUUCGGGUAGGGGUUGGCGUGUUUUGCGUUGCUUUUCAGGAUGAGAGUGACGAUUUUAACUUUUUUCUUUUUUUCUUUUUUCUUUCUUUUUUUUUUUUUUAACUUUAAGAAAAUGACUCGGGGGCAGUUGCAGAUAUUUGGCCUGAUUUUAAUAGGCGCGGGGAAUGAGCUCCAGAGGUCAAUAAACCCCUCCAAAAUGAUGAAUGAUUGACUACCUGUGAUGAUGAUAGUGAUUACCGGAGCAAUUAAACAGUUUGAUUAAAUGAGCCAUCAUAACAAUGAUGUCUGCGGGAAAUCAGCCCUCACAUAUAAAGAAAGAUAGCGUGGGGCUGACGGACGCCAGUGGGCAUCCCCCGAGCUCCGGCAGCACCCGGCCCGGCGGCUGCGGGCUGGAGAAGGGGAGAAGUGGCCCCGAUGUCGGCCCCGGUGUCGGCCGGAGCUGCCCUCGUUCGCUUCCCGGAGCCGGGCUCGACCCCGCAGUGCUUUUCUGAGAGGAUCUCCUCCGAGAUUAAAGCUAAAUCCUAAGAGCAACCGAAUGGCUGCGCCUGGCUUUCCCGGGACUGGGAGGAGAGAUCGGCCCCAAAGUCCAAAGAGAAAUGAGGUGUCCGGUGUGGAAGUGCAUCUCAGUCAACAGCCAGCUCCUUUGGCAGGGGCUGGAAAUGGUUUUAACAGGCGGUAAAAUUUCAUCUUGUGGUGUCAAAUUGGGGUCAGUUUGGGGUUAGCGCUCUCAGUGUCCGAGAAGGAGCUGUCCAGCUGUGUGGGGAUUCAUUAAGGGCAAAAGAUCCGUUUCAAGAAAAACAAUACAAAGACAAUCAGAGAGCUAAAGAUCCUCUUCAAAUCGCAUUUUACAAGUGCACCAGAACAAAUAUGGACGCUGAAACCUAUUCCCUUCAAACUCCCAAAUCGGCUUCUUAGCCUUCGGAGGGAGGGAAAAUCCGCUGCAGCCCGGCCGGGUCUGCUUCCAAUCACCGCCCCGAGGUGCGCCGGGCCCCGCGCCGCCCUCACCCGCUCCCCUUUCCCUUUCGGCACAGCGCUGCGGAGCAAUGGCACCACAACAGGAGCUCCGAGAACUUGCACGGAGAGAACGGCGAGCCGGAGCCCACCUGGGAGUUCGGAGCCCUCCGAGCAGAGCGGCCCCGACCCAUCCGUGUAGGGCCGGGUGCUGGUAGCAGUGGGUAACAAAGGGAGGGAUGACCGUAGGGAAUCCUUUCUUAGCUGGUUAGAGCCCUAAGGAAAGCAGAGUGGGAGCAGCAUGGAUGUUCUGUGUCCCCUGUCCCGCAGCCCCCAUGCAGCAGAGUCUGAACUGAUGAUUCUUUUAGCCGUGAGCCCUGAGUUGGUGUAAGCUCGGUGCCAGGCACCCCUCGCUCCUUUUCCUCCCGCGCCCAGCCGGGACGCGGCCAAACUCAGCAAUAAAUCAAUCCACUGCCACAUCGCUCCCUUCUAUCGAGCAAACACUGCGAUCAGCGGGUCACUUCUCCUCCCACCCCACCCGUUGUGAGGCUGACGCUGCUUCACGGGCUAGGGAGACAGACCCGAUGUGCGGGGGUAGGGGGAGGUGGUGGUAUAUCUUUUUUUGUUUGUUUGUUUCCCCCCCCUUUUUUUUUUUUUUCCCUCCCUCUUCUCCCCUUUCCCAGGGAGAUGUACGGUUGAAGAGCCGCUGGAGCGAGCCCGAGUUCCCGGGGAGAAGGAAGGUUGGCCCGUAGAGAGGCAGCCAGCAGCAAAGCAGCCUAUCCUUCUCCGCGGCUUUUUCACGUCCGAAGAGUUUGCGGCGGGGUUUCCCGGCUCCCUGGGGAGGCUCCGCGGGAUGAAGCGGGCAACGGAGAGCCGCGCCUCGGAGGGAGGCUUAGCGCAAGCGGACACGCUCAGGGAGCCUCGGUGACAUCCAGAAGUCCCUUGAAUUUCACAUGUUUUUCCAAUCGCUCAACCCAAAAUAUAUGGUGUCUUCCUUUCCCACCCCCCUCCUUCUUUCUAGGAAUGUGCGUAAUAAAACCUAAUCGCCUGGGACUCUCCUUUCUGCAUCUGCUGGACACGAAGCCGCGGGGGGACAAGGUCCUCUCGGCUCUGAAGCCGAGCUGCUAUGGGACGCCCGGCGGCCUCGGCCACGUCUGCACGUGGGAGACCCCGAAUGAGCCUUUGAGCUACAUUAACUAUCCCGCUGCCGUCUGGGGCUCCCUCGCCAGCAGCAGCUCUCUUCGCCUCCUGCAGCCAUCUCCGAAGUGGAGGUCGGGACACUCACCUCAGGAGCGCAGCUCCUGACCAAGACAAAGUGGUCCGUGGUUCUUUGGAAUGUUGUUAUUCCCUGAAAGGUUGAGCAGGAUGAGUCACAGCAACACCGAGAGAAUGGAGGAUCCAGUUCUUGCAGGACAGAAUGGUCCCAAAGGAUCCAUAAAGAGGAAGAAGAGGAACAGUGUGCAGGCUUAACAAUUUCUCAGACAUCAUUAGGUUUUUCAUGUCAGAAUAAAAUAAUCUGGGUGUCUGCAGUUGCAGUGAACUAGGUGGGAUAUUAUCCCUGCCUUGGCAUUAAAGGGCAGAAACUCUCUUAAUUCCUAUAACUGAAAUGCCUAACCACCUUGCUGUGUUUACAUGCUUCCAUUCACCACAUUUUCCACCACUGAAGUUAGCCAAUAAAGUCAAAGAGUGAAACUCA